Molecule: long non-coding RNA, 2859 nt
Organism: Cavia porcellus (domestic guinea pig)
Lineage: Eukaryota; Metazoa; Chordata; Mammalia; Rodentia; Caviidae
Exons: 2
Source: RefSeq, a predicted model, not a curated record
CAGUAGCUGUUGAUGUGGUAUUACCCUGCUUCAAAGUUCUGUUCCACCUUCACUGCAUUGUUUUGGUUGGUUUUAUGUGGUUUUGUUUUGUUGGGUUUUAUUCCCUUUAAAGUUAAAAAAAAAAAAAAGCAAAAAAUCUUUGGCUGUGUAAAGAAGCAGACUCUAACAGGAAAAUGAUACUCCAGGAUUCCAAGAGGUAAGAGUGUAGUGUCACCAGUCCUCAGAUGUCACAGCUUCCAGCAACUCCCCCCAGGGGGGUUCUGGUCUCAUUUGCAUUUCCAUGACUUGUUGCAUGUCUCCAGGGCUGACCCCUUAAACCAUCUUGUGCACUUCACGCCCUGCAGAACCCGGAUGUGAACACACACAUUGAUCUGUCCUGCAUCUUGAUUCUGGAAGUUCUUCCUUUCUAGGACUCAAUAUUUCCAGUUUUCUUUCUCAAAUUUCUGAUAAACACAUUUAUUUUCCUUCCUGUAUUUUUUCUCUAAACUAACUUUCUGGAAUGCUGUCAAAGUUCUGGAAGUGAGGACAAGAAUACUGGGCCAAGAAUAGGGAGCAGGUCAAGGAGGCAUCCAGGAGAGAAAGAUUUUACACAGCUUGGCCAACAAACAGCGGUCGCCUUGGGAAGCCAACCGAGCCGCCAUGCUGCAUAGGAGGCAGAAACAACCUGAUGCGUGCCAGAGACAGGCAGUAGGGCCCAUGAAGAAAUGUUUUCCGUUUUGUCCCAUGAGUAAUAAAAUAUCACCACAUGAGUCGCAAUCAGUCUGUAACUUUAUCCACGGGAUACUUUGGCCUUUGUUCGCCUUCUUUUUCUGUGCCUGGUCUUUGCCUGGGAAGCCUUGCCGGUUCCACUGGGAGAAAGGUGGAGAAUAAGACCUGCUGGGUCCUAUUUAAGCUUUUAAAGAACAUUCACUCUUUUUUCUUUUCCUACAGACCACAGCCAACUGCUGCUCCUCCCUUUGAAGGAACCCGGCUGUACCUGCUCUUUCAUCUCCUGGAUGGAAAAUGUCUAUCGGCUGGAAACCCUGGACAGGACCGCAUUCGGGCAGCACCCCGGUGGGAAACCUUGUCACUGAGCAAACGCUGCUGAAUGUAACCACACGAACCCAGGUGCAGAGGGCCAUCCCUGCGUGGGACCCCUGAAGCAGUCGGAGGAUGCGCUAGACAUAAAAUAGGUAAGGCUGCGACGGGCCAGCGCAGGACGCUGUUUUACAGAAAAAUUGAUUUUCAUCUGUGGAAGGUGCUCAUGUCAGAAGAGGACCCAGGUCAGGUGUGCUGGUGUAGACCUGUGCUCCCAGCACUCUGGGGGGCUGAGGUGGGAGGAUCACAAGUUUCAGCGCAGCCUGGGCCACACGGUGACUUAGUGAGACCCUGUCUUCAAAGUAAAUAAAACAAAAUAUAAAGUGGUAAAAUAUGAUAAAGUAAAUAAAAUAGCUCAGUGUGAAGGCCCUAAAUUCAGUUCCUAGUACAACAAAAUUAAUUAAUUAAUUUUUUAAAAGAGAAUAAAAUCAAACAAAACAGAACAGCGUGAUACAGGGUUUUAAAACAAGAUAAUAGGAAAUCAACAGUGGCUACCAUAAUGCCUCUUAUCCUCAAAACAGCUGUCUACAUCAUCAGACACAGAAAAAUCCAAUAAAUAAAUGAAAAGUAAUGAGAACCAUCAGCGUGUAGCUUGGUCGUUUAUGAGUCUUGUCAUUGCCCAGGUUCAUGCACUGUGUGGACUUAUCACGCCAUCCGCACACCUGGCAAAGUUUGUUUACAUCAGCGAGGGCAGGAGCAUGCGCAUAUUGUGGGCUCUGUGCAAGGCACAGGAGUCUUCCGGCUCCCUUGUCUUCUUACAGGGCCGUCAUCACAGAUGUGGACUGUUGCUGACCAGUGUGUCACCGUGCGGUUUUACAGGAGAUGCCAGGGAGGCCAGAUGCAGCGAUGCGGAGGAUCGUGGAGCCCCGGGAGCCCCAGAAGUCAGCCAGCUUCUUGGUGAGGUGACAAAGCCCUGUAUCCUCAACUUCCUGGUGAGCCACUUAUGCUCCUGAACUCCUCCAGGGGAGGGGAUCUCCCUAGGUGACCAAACCACAUCUUUGGAAGGCAAAGACCAUUAAAAAUCCCUUCUCAAGAUGAACUAAAACCUGCCAACCUUUAACUUUCCAUCUGCUGGCUGUACCGUUUCCUUCUGGAAAAAUGCAAGUUCAACCCGAUUCCUUUUCUAUAGGGUAAUGGUUUAAAUAUCUGAAGAGUGCUAUCACCAUCCCCUUGUAUGCUCUCUCUCUGUCUCUCUCUGUCUCUCUCUCUCUCAUUUUUCAAGCCCUCUGCUGUCAGGCCAACCUCUUGCAUUGUACGACUAUAUAAUGGAGUUUUUGGGAGAUGAAAUACGUAUCUUUAAGUUUACAUUUAUUAAAUUUCAUUUUAUCAAAUGAAUUACAAUCUCAUCAGCAUUGUAAAAGUAAGCUAAACCAAUCUGAAAUACCUCUUGCACCCUAAAAAUGAGUAAAGAUUAAAAUAAAAUUAGAUAAAAAAUUUUUUGGCAAAGGAGCAGAAAAACAAAGACCCUUGUUUACUGCUGGUGACAAUUAAUCUAUCUGUCAUUUUUGGGAUUCACGUUAGCAUUAUGUAUGCCAACAAUCAUGGUCUGGAAAUUGUAGAGGAUUAAUUGUUUUGGAAAAAGUUUUAGUUAUGAGAACGUUCAUGUCAACAAUGUCCAAAGGAAUAAAAUUAAAAACAAUCUUCUAAUGGUUAAAUAACGUAUAGAAUGCAUGCUGUAGUAUUAAAAUGUGAUGUCCUAGAAAAAAAUUUAAUGAUGUGGAAUUAACUGGAAAAAAUAGACUCUGCAGUAGUGUGGAAUAAAUGAUCUCUGUUCUCUAAAAA